Molecule: ribosomal RNA, 114 nt
Filed under: Acanthosepion pharaonis
Lineage: Eukaryota; Metazoa; Mollusca; Cephalopoda; Sepiida; Sepiidae
Source: RNAcentral
UUACGGCCAUAUCACGUUGAAAUACCGGUUCUCAUGCAAUCACCGAAGUUAAGCAACGUCGAGCCUGAUCAGUAGCUAGAUGGGUGACCGCUUGGCAAUACCAGGGACUGUAAU